GAGUUUGAUCAUGGCUCAGAUUGAACGCUGGCGGCAGGCCUAACACAUGCAAGUCGAGCGGUAGAGAGAAGCUUGCUUCUCUUGAGAGCGGCGGACGGGUGAGUAAUGCCUAGGAAUCUGCCUGGUAGUGGGGGAUAACGCUCGGAAACGGACGCUAAUACCGCAUACGUCCUACGGGAGAAAGCAGGGGACCUUCGGGCCUUGCGCUAUCAGAUGAGCCUAGGUCGGAUUAGCUAGUUGGUGAGGUAAUGGCUCACCAAGGCGACGAUCCGUAACUGGUCUGAGAGGAUGAUCAGUCACACUGGAACUGAGACACGGUCCAGACUCCUACGGGAGGCAGCAGUGGGGAAUAUUGGACAAUGGGCGAAAGCCUGAUCCAGCCAUGCCGCGUGUGUGAAGAAGGUCUUCGGAUUGUAAAGCACUUUAAGUUGGGAGGAAGGGCAGUAAAUUAAUACUUUGCUGUUUUGACGUUACGACAGAAUAAGCACCGGCUAACUCUGUGCCAG
RNAcentral lists this ribosomal RNA (506 nucleotides) under uncultured bacterium. Its description in RNAcentral is "bacterial SSU rRNA". It matches the Rfam family "Bacterial small subunit ribosomal RNA", at positions 9 to 511 of the family's 1533-position model. The record is from RNAcentral.